Molecule: ribosomal RNA, 934 nt
Filed under: uncultured bacterium
Lineage: Bacteria
Description: bacterial SSU rRNA
Rfam family: Bacterial small subunit ribosomal RNA
Source: RNAcentral
UGCAGUCGCACGGUUCCGAUGGCCCGCAAGGGCUGUCGGGAUAGUGGCGAACGGGUGAGUAACGCGUGAGCAACCUGCCCGCGAGUGGGGAACAACCCCGGGAAACUGGGGCUAAUACCGCAUAACACCCGAGGACGUUGGUUCUUGGGUUGAAAGCCCGCAAGGGCGCUCGUGGAGGGGCUCGCGUCCGAUCAGCUAGUUGGUGAGGUAACGGCUCACCAAGGCGGAGACCGGUAGCCGGCCUGAGAGGGUGUUCGGCCACACUGGGACUGAGACACGGCCCAGACUCCUACGGGAGGCAGCAGUGAGGAAUAUUGCGCAAUGGGGGAAACCCUGACGCAGCGACGCCGCGUGGAGGACGAAGCCCUUCGGGGUGUAAACUCCUUUCGACCCGGACGAAACCUCCGCAAGGAGAUUGACGGUACGGGUAGGAGAAGCCCCGGCUAACUACGUGCCAGCAGCCGCGGUAAUACGUAGGGGGCGAGCGUUGCUCGGAAUUACUGGGCGUAAAGGGUCCGUAGGCGGCUCGGUAUGUCCGUCGUGAAAUCUCCUGGCCUAACUGGGAGCAGCCGACGGAAACUGCCGGGCUCGAGGGCGGGAGAGGUGCGUGGAAUUGCGGGUGUAGCGGUGAAAUGCGUAGAGAUCCGCAGGAACACCGGCGGCGAAGGCGGCGCACUGGACCGCUCCUGACGCUGAGGGACGAAAGCUGGGGGAGCAAACAGGAUUAGAUACCCUGGUAGUCCCAGCCCUAAACCAUGGUCACUGGGUGUGCCCGGCGUUCGUCGGGCGUGCCGACGCUAACGCAUUAAGUGACCCGCCUGGGGGAGUACGGUCGCAAGACUGAAACUCAAAGGAAUUGACGGGGGGCCCGCACAAGCGGGUGGAGCAUGUGGGUUCAAUUUCGACGCAACGCCGAAGAACCUUUACCUGGGGC